GGAUUCCUGGCAGAGUGAUUUGGCUGUGAUGUAAUGUAAAUCACAUUGCCAGGGAUUUCCA
Molecule: microRNA precursor, 61 nt
Filed under: Tetraodon nigroviridis (spotted green pufferfish)
Lineage: Eukaryota; Metazoa; Chordata; Actinopteri; Tetraodontiformes; Tetraodontidae
Description: Tni-Mir-23-P1_pre stem-loop
Rfam family: mir-23 microRNA precursor family
Source: RNAcentral